CACGUGAGUAACCUGCCCCUGACUCUGGGAUAAGCCCGGGAAACUGGGUCUAAUACCGGAUAUGACUUUUGACCGCAUGGUUGAGGGUGGAAAGAUUUAUCGGUUGGGGAUGGACUCGCGGCCUAUCAGCUUGUUGGUGAGGUAAUGGCUCACCAAGGCGACGACGGGUAGCCGGCCUGAGAGGGUGACCGGCCACACUGGGACUGAGACACGGCCCAGACUCCUACGGGAGGCAGCAGUGGGGAAUAUUGCACAAUGGGCGCAAGCCUGAUGCAGCGACGCCGCGUGAGGGAUGACGGCCUUCGGGUUGUAAACCUCUUUCAGUAGGGAAGAAGCGAAAGUGACGGUACCUGCAGAAGAAGCGCCGGCUAACUACGUG
Molecule: ribosomal RNA, 379 nt
Filed under: uncultured bacterium
Lineage: Bacteria
Description: bacterial SSU rRNA
Rfam family: Bacterial small subunit ribosomal RNA
Source: RNAcentral